This 1263-nucleotide ribosomal RNA is filed under the name Hypaurotis koreanus. RNAcentral describes it as "Favonius koreanus partial 16S ribosomal RNA". Lineage: Eukaryota; Metazoa; Arthropoda; Insecta; Lepidoptera; Lycaenidae. The record is from RNAcentral.
AAAAUAAAAAUUAAUAAAAAUAAAUUUAAUAAAAGUAAUUUUAAUAUUAAAAUAAAUAAUGGGGGUUAAAGUAUUUUAAUAGAAAAAAUUAUGAAUUUUAUAGUGAAUUAGUAUAGUAGUAGAAAUUUGAAAUAAAUGAAAAAUAAUUUUUAAAAAAGUAAAUUUAAAUUAUUGUAUCUCGUGUAUCAGAGUUUAUUAAAUAAUGUUUUUAUAUAAAAAUAUCUCGAAUUUAAAAGAGUUAAUUAAUUAAUAAAGUUAAUGUAAAAUAAUUAUUUUAAAUAAUUAAUUUGAAAUGAAAUGUUAAUCGUUUUUAAAUAUAUCUAGUUAUUUUAGAAAAAAAUUUAAUUUUAAAUUUAUUUAUUCAUUAUAUUAAUUAAAUUAAUAUAAUAAAAAAUAAAUUUUAUAAUUUAAGGGAUAAGCUUUAAAUUAAAUUAUUAUAAUAAAUAAUUAAAAUAAAUAAAAUUUUUAAGAUUUAUAUUGUUUAAAAAUUAAAGUUUAUUAUAAAAAAUUUUAUUAAAAAUAAAAUUUAAAUUAAUUUAAUUUUUUAUAAAAAUAUAAUUUUUAAUAUAAAAAGAUUAGUAAUAAUGAUAAAAUUAGUAUAAUAAAAUAAAAAAAAAAUAAAUUUAUUUAAAAUUAAAUAAAAGGAAUUCGGCAAAAUUUAUAUUCACCUGUUUAACAAAAACAUGUCUUUUUGAAAAAUAAUCUAAAGUCUAAUCUGCCCACUGAUUUUAUAUUAAAGGGCUGCAGUAUAUUGACUGUACAAAGGUAGCAUAAUCAUUAGUCUUUUAAUUGAAGACUUGUAUGAAGGAUUUGAUGAAAUAUGAACUGUCUCUUAUUUAUAAAUAGAAUUUAAUUUUUUAGUUAAAAAGCUAAAAUGUAAUUAAAAGACGAGAAGACCCUAUAGAGUUUUAUAAUUAUUUAUUUAAAAUAUUUAUAUAAAAUUUUAAUAUUUUAUUUGAAUAAUUAUUAUAUUGGGGUGAUAAAAAAAUUAAUUAAACUUUUUUUAAAAUUUAACAAAAAUAAAUGAAUAAAUGAUCCAUAAAUAAUGAUUAAAAGAAAAAAUUACCUUAGGGAUAACAGCGUAAUAUUUUUUUUUAGUACAAAUAAAAAAAAAAGUUUGCGACCUCGAUGUUGGAUUAAGAUAAAAUUUAAAUGCAAAAGUUUAAAAUUUUGAUCUGUUCGAUCAUUAAAAUCUUACAUGAUCUGAGUUCAAACCGGUGUAAGCCAGGUUGGUUUCUAUCUUUAAUAAGAUAGGAUAUUUUA